This 497-nucleotide ribosomal RNA is filed under the name uncultured bacterium. Its description in RNAcentral is "partial 16S ribosomal RNA". It matches the Rfam family "Bacterial small subunit ribosomal RNA", at positions 28 to 507 of the family's 1533-position model. The record is from RNAcentral.
GACGAACGCUGGCGGCGUGCCUAAUACAUGCAAGUUGAGCGCUGAAGGUUGGUACUUGUACCAACUGGAUGAGCAGCGAACGGGUGAGUAACGCGUGGGGAAUCUGCCUUUGAGCGGGGGACAACAUUUGGAAACGAAUGCUAAUACCGCAUAAAAACUUUAAACACAAGUUUUAAGUUUGAAAGAUGCAAUUGCAUCACUCAAAGAUGAUCCCGCGUUGUAUUAGCUAGUUGGUGAGGUAAAGGCUCACCAAGGCGAUGAUACAUAGCCGACCUGAGAGGGUGAUCGGCCACAUUGGGACUGAGACACGGCCCAAACUCCUACGGGAGGCAGCAGUAGGGAAUCUUCGGCAAUGGACGAAAGUUUGACCGAGCAACGCCGCGUGAGUGAAGAAGGUUUUCGGAUCGUAAAACUCUGUUGGUAGAGAAGAACGUUGGUGAGAGUGGAAAGCUCAUCAAGUGACGGUAACUACCCAGAAAGGGACGGCUAACUACGUG